UGAGGAAUAUUGGUCAAUGGGCGAGAGCCUGAACCAGCCAAGUAGCGUGCAGGAAGACGGCCCUAUGGGUUGUAAACUGCUUUUAUAAGGGAAUAAAGUGGGAGUCGUGACUCCUUUUGCAUGUACCUUAUGAAUAAGGACCGGCUAAUUCCGUGCCAGCAGCCGCGGUAAUACGGAAGGUCCGGGCGUUAUCCGGAUUUAUUGGGUUUAAAGGGAGCGUAGGCCGGAGAUUAAGCGUGUUGUGAAAUGUAGACGCUCAACGUCUGCACUGCAGCGCGAACUGGUUUCCUUGAGUACGCACAAAGUGGGCGGAAUUCGUGGUGUAGCGGUGAAAUGCUUAGAUAUCACGAAGAACUCCGAUUGCGAAGGCAGCUCACUGGAGCGCAACUGACGCUGAAGCUCGAAAGUGCGGGUAUCGAACAGG
Molecule: ribosomal RNA, 424 nt
Filed under: uncultured Prevotella sp.
Lineage: Bacteria; Pseudomonadati; Bacteroidota; Bacteroidia; Bacteroidales; Prevotellaceae
Description: bacterial SSU rRNA
Rfam family: Bacterial small subunit ribosomal RNA
Source: RNAcentral